This 472-nucleotide ribosomal RNA is filed under the name uncultured bacterium. Its description in RNAcentral is "bacterial SSU rRNA". It matches the Rfam family "Bacterial small subunit ribosomal RNA", at positions 27 to 518 of the family's 1533-position model. The record is from RNAcentral.
GGACGAACGCUGGCGGCGUGCUUCAUACAUGCAAGUCGAACGAGAAGCUGACUUCGGUCAGUGGAAAGUGGCGGACGGGUGAGUAAUAUGUAGAGAAUCUGCCCCUUUAGUGGGGGACAACAGAGGGAAACUUCUGCUAAUACCCCAUAUGAGCUAAGCUGAAAUGCUUAUCUUGAAAACUCCGGUGCUAAAGGAUGAGUCUGCAUCUGAUUAGCUAGUUGGCGGUGUAAUGGACCACCAAGGCGACGAUCAGUAGCUGGUUUGAGAGGAUGAUCAGCCACAAUGGGACUGAGACACGGCCCAUACUCCUACGGGAGGCAGCAGUAGGGAAUUUUGCGCAAUGGGCGAAAGCCCUGACGCAGCAACGCCGCGUGAACGAUUAAGCCCUUCGGGGUGUAAAGUUCUGUCAGUAGGGACGAAACUUGACGGUACCUACAGAGGAAGCACCGGCUAACUCCGUGCCAGCCGCGGC